GGGGGUGAGACCUAAGUCCCAGUGAAUGGAUAAUCCAUCUAACCAUAGAGAAACAGAAAAGUUCAGCUUUAAUACCCAUCAUAAUAUAUAGCUUACACUACUGAUAUAUUUUCAAAAUUUUUAUAUGCUAAACAAGAGCAAAACCAAGUAGUAAAUUAUUUUACUGAAGAAAAAUAAUGCUGGGCUACUGCCGACUACACCACAGGGCACCACUCCUAUGGC
Molecule: long non-coding RNA, 222 nt
Filed under: Elaeis guineensis (African oil palm)
Lineage: Eukaryota; Viridiplantae; Streptophyta; Magnoliopsida; Arecales; Arecaceae
Description: long non-coding RNA (EGUI_LNC028227)
Source: RNAcentral